RNAcentral lists this RNase P RNA (443 nucleotides) under Pelagerythrobacter aerophilus. Its description in RNAcentral is "RNase P RNA component class A". It matches the Rfam family "Bacterial RNase P class A". From Rfam's summary of the family: Ribonuclease P (RNase P) is a ubiquitous endoribonuclease, found in archaea, bacteria and eukarya as well as chloroplasts and mitochondria. Its best characterised activity is the generation of mature 5'-ends of tRNAs by cleaving the 5'-leader elements of precursor-tRNAs. The record is from RNAcentral. Lineage: Bacteria; Pseudomonadati; Pseudomonadota; Alphaproteobacteria; Sphingomonadales; Erythrobacteraceae.
CCAGGGGGCCGGGCAGCCGCGGGUGCGAAAGCACGCGAGGAAAGUCCGGGCUCCACGAAACGAGGGUGGCGGGUAACGCCCGCCGGGUCCGUGCAAGCGGGCUCAGGGAAAGUGCCACAGAGAGUAUACCGCCGACGCGGCCCUAAAGGCCGCAGGCAAGGGUGAAAGGGUGCGGUAAGAGCGCACCGGGGUCUCGGCAACGCGGCCCGCAUGGCAAACCCCACCCGGAGCAAGGCCGAAUAGGGGCGGCGCGCCCGCGAAUGCGGGCCGGGGUGUUUCGCCCCGAGCGCAAGCUGCGACCGCCCGGGUUGGCUGCUUGAGCGCACGGAGCAAUCCGUCGCCUAGACGAAUGGCUGCCCUCGCGGGGGCCGGUCCCUCCCAAGGAAACUAGGGACGGGAUACCGCCCGCGAGACAGAACCCGGCUUACAGGCCCCCUGGCAUU